CUCAUAGUACUAGUAACCAGAGAGGGGAGGAGAACUCAUUCACUAAAAAGCAGCACCUACACAAGUGCGUGUUCUUACUACGUCAUUGACCGAAAGCGCUGUCUAUAAAGCUGACCAGACUGAGACCGACCACUUUUGCAAGGUCCUGACCACUGCAGUCCGGGAAUAUCCAACAAGAGCUGCAGUUUAAACACAAUCAUCAAGGUGGAGACUAAUAAUAAAAUGGAUUUGGACUUUCCUGUCUUUACGAAUUGGACUCAUUUGUCUGCAUGAGGUGCAUUUGUCUGCCUUUGACUGUUUAGGUAAACUUAGCUAAACUCCACACUGAAUGGAAAGUGCUUCCUUGCUUUAUGUUGGGGACAGUUACACAAGUCUAAGUACGGUUAUUCAGUGUUAUUCUCUUGUUCUGCUAUUUUUAUAAAAGAUAGUUUUGUACCUUGUUUCUCUGUUAUUUGAUUAUUUAAUAA
Molecule: long non-coding RNA, 467 nt
Organism: Clarias gariepinus (North African catfish)
Lineage: Eukaryota; Metazoa; Chordata; Actinopteri; Siluriformes; Clariidae
Exons: 3
Source: RefSeq, a predicted model, not a curated record